CUCCCAGGCUUUCAUGUGGAAUGUCUGAUGCAUUAAUUACUGGACAUUGUUUAUGGGCUGUGACAGGGUCAGUUUUCUAUACAUACAUAUACAUGCACUAACAUUUGUAUAGCAUUUAUGUACAAAUAAAAUAGUUCCUGUGCAAAACUAAACUUGUAGUUAGGCACUGGUUUGGUGUAACAAAGUAAUUUUCAUUCUGUGCAGGGCCACACCACCCCUCUCGAAUCAAUGUAAAUGGUACGACCCGCAGUUCAGGUGCUUCAGCUGCGGACCAGCUGUGAAUCAGUUAAUGAGACAGGAGCAUAGACAGUAAAAUAAGACAGGAGCUGUAGUUAGCCGUGAUAUGAACUAAGAAGACAGGGGAAGAGUCAUGUCUUUCCUUAAGAAAGGAAAAUCAGAGGCUCAAAAACGAAAAGAAACGAAGAUUAAAGAGAGAAAGGAAAAUGAGGGCAAGCAGUUUCUCACUCAGUUUUUUUAAAAGAAAGGUGAGCUCAAAAUGCAUAAUCGAGCAUUGACAUUGUUUUAACAUAAAUAUCUACUAUUGGAGGAGUUCUCCCCAGAGUCACAAGUUUACAUGAAAACACUAUAUUUCCCUCCAUUGUCAAAAUCUAACACCCGCGAAAACACAGAUCGUUAGCGCCUAUCUUACAGCAUUGUUAUGCAACUUAGCUCGUGCACGCUCAGGAUUGUUAUCAGUUUAAUGCACAUCUUAAUGAUUGAAAAUUACUUAUUUUAAAACGUAAAGACUGAAUGUCUAGUCUGGUGGUUAGUGUACCCUGUGAUUCUAUAGUCUGCAUUCAUUUUAAACAGACAAAUAAUCAGCAAUUAACUUGUACUUCGCCUACACUUUUAAAAAGGUAUUAUGACAAUAAAGGAUAUUUUAGCAAUCAUUUGAAGCCAUAUAUUUCAGUUUCAGACCCUGCAGCAGCAGGCCCCUCAUCAUGGCCAGGUGAAAGCAGUGACAGUGAGGUGGAUGUGACAGUGAGACAAGGAUUGCGCGCGCAUCAUUCAAAUUCAGAAACCCAGCCGACUGGAGCAGCCCGAG
RNAcentral lists this long non-coding RNA (1045 nucleotides) under Carassius auratus (goldfish). Its description in RNAcentral is "lncRNA (ENSCARG00000000968.1)". The record is from RNAcentral. Lineage: Eukaryota; Metazoa; Chordata; Actinopteri; Cypriniformes; Cyprinidae.